RNAcentral lists this ribosomal RNA (491 nucleotides) under uncultured bacterium. Its description in RNAcentral is "partial 16S ribosomal RNA". It matches the Rfam family "Bacterial small subunit ribosomal RNA", at positions 29 to 506 of the family's 1533-position model. The record is from RNAcentral.
AGUGAACGCUGGCGGUAGGCCUAACACAUGCAAGUCGAACGGCAGCACAGUAAGAUCUUGCUCUUACGGGUGGCGAGUGGCGGACGGGUGAGGAAUACAUCGUAAUCUACUUUUUCGGGGGGGAUAACGUAGGGAAACUUACUCUAAUACCGCAUACGACCUACGGGUGAAAGCAUGGGAUCUUCGGACCUUGCGCGGUUGAAUUAGCCGAUUUCGGAUUAGCUAGUUGGCGGGGUAAAGGCCCACCAAGGGGACGAUCCGUAGCUGGUCUGAGAGGAUGGUGGGCGACCAUGGAACUGAGCAACGGUCCAGACUCCUAGGGGAGGCAGAAGUGGGGAAUAUUGGCAAAUGGGGGAAAGCUUGAUCAAGCCAUACCGGGUGGGUGAAGAAGGCCUUCGGGUUGGAAAGCCCUUUUGUUGGGAAAGAAAAGCAGCAGGUUAAUAACCCGCUGUUCUGACGGUACCAAAAGAAUAAGCACCGGCUAAUUUGGU